This is a long non-coding RNA of Chiroxiphia lanceolata (lance-tailed manakin), 668 nucleotides long. RefSeq lists it as uncharacterized. Lineage: Eukaryota; Metazoa; Chordata; Aves; Passeriformes; Pipridae. The record is from RefSeq and is a predicted model, not a curated record. The transcript is spliced from 3 exons.
GCCGUGGGCCUGUCCUUUGUACUCUGCUGAGCAGAGAGCAUGAGGAAAUGUGCUCCAAGAGAAGGAUCCCAGGAAUUGGCCGCCAGUGCAACAACACAACACUUUUCCACUGCAACUGCUCCUGCUUACCUGGUAACUUGAAGCAAACAGAAAUGCUAAAAGAGAGGACAAUGACCUAAGGAGUGGGGGGUCUCCCCAUCAGUCACACAAGGGGAAGGAAGCUCUUCUGGAGACUGCAAAGGAAAACACCAUGGAAAAAGACUGUAGAAGAAUUAAACUCUCACAGGGUUUUCCAGGCUCUACCCUUUCUUCCCUUCUGAACAUUCAUCCUCCUGGGUCACUGCAGGCUCAAGAGGAAACUGCAUAGCUCUUGCUUAAGAUGGGGGACUGGAGAAGCAUGUGGUUGGUCAUUGCAAGACUGCCAAGAGACCAUGAUAAUGGCACCAGGAUUUUCCUUGAAACCAACAAAAGGAGAUAAGAAAUGGCCAACACCCACAAAAAGAUAAUAUCCCUUCAAUGAUGUAAAUAAUAGAUUUACUUUUUAAAAUAUUUGCUGCUGGAAUACACCUUUACAAAGUGGGUGCCUGCUUAACAAUGUCUCCCUGCCCCUGCUCUAUAUGCUUCACUGCUUCAUUUAUGAAGAAUUGACAUUUAUGACAUAAAUAUUU